UACGUAGGGUGCGAGCGUUGUCCGGAAUUAUUGGGCGUAAAGGGCUCGUAGGCGGUUUGUCGCGUCGGGAGUGAAAUCCACUGGCUUAACUGGUGGCUUGCUUUCGAUACGGGCAGACUGGAGGUAUGCAGGGGAGAACGGAAUUCCUGGUGUAGCGGUGAAAUGCGUAGAUAUCGGGAGGAACACCAGUGGCGAAGGCGGUUCCCUGGGGCUUUGCUGACGCUGAUGCGCGAAAGCGUGGGGAGCGAUCCGG
Molecule: ribosomal RNA, 253 nt
Filed under: uncultured bacterium
Lineage: Bacteria
Description: partial 16S ribosomal RNA
Rfam family: Bacterial small subunit ribosomal RNA
Source: RNAcentral